RNAcentral lists this ribosomal RNA (803 nucleotides) under uncultured bacterium. Its description in RNAcentral is "bacterial SSU rRNA". It matches the Rfam family "Bacterial small subunit ribosomal RNA", at positions 13 to 846 of the family's 1533-position model. The record is from RNAcentral.
UUGAUCCUGGCUCGAAUGAACGCUGGCGGCAGGCCUAACACACUGUAAGUCGAACGGAGUUAUAUUGUAGCUUGCUAUGGUAUAACUUAGUGGCAGACGGGUGAGUAAUGUAUAGGAAUCUACCUAGUAGUACGGAAUAAUUGUUGGAAACGGCAACUAAUGCCGUAUACGCCCUACGGGGGAAAAAUUUAUUGCUAUUAGAUGAGCCUAUAUUAGAUUAGCUAGUUGGUGGAGUAAUAGCCUACCAAGGCAAUGAUCUAUAGCUGAUCUGAGAGGAUGAUCAGCCACACUGGAACUGAGAUACGGUCCAGACUCCUACGGGAGGCAGCAGUGGGGAAUAUUGGACAAUGGGCGAAAGCCUGAUCCAGCCAUGCCGCAUGAGUGAAGAAGGCCUUUGGGUUGUAAAGCUCUUUUAGUGAGGAAGAUAAUGACGGUACUCACAGAAGAAGUCCUGGCUAACUCCGUGCCAGCAGCCGCGGUAAUACGGAGAGGGCUAGCGUUAUUCGGAAUUAUUGGGCGUAAAGGGCGCGUAGGCGGAUUAGUAAGUUAAAAGUGAAAUCCCAAGGCUCAACCUUGGAAUUGCUUUUAAAACUGCUAAUCUAGAGAUUGAAAGAGGAUAGAGGAAUUCCUAGUGUAGAGGUGAAAUUCGUAAAUAUUAGGAGGAACACCAGUGGCGAAGGCGUCUAUCUGGUUCAAAUCUGACGCUGAGGCGCGAAGGCGUGGGGAGCAAACAGGAUUAGAUACCCUGGUAGUCCACGCUGUAAACGAUGAAUGUUAAAUAUGGGAAGUUUUACUUUCUGUAU